AGCGAACGCUGGCGGUAGGCCUAACACAUGCAAGUCGAACGGCAGCACAGUAAGAGCUUGCUCUUACGGGUGGCGAGUGGCGGACGGGUGAGGAAUACAUCGGAAUCUACUUUUUCGUGGGGGAUAACGUAGGGAAACUUACGCUAAUACCGCAUACGACCUACGGGUGAAAGCAGGGGAUCUUCGGACCUUGCGCGAUUGAAUGAGCCGAUGUCGGAUUAGAUAGUUGGGGGGGUGAAGGCCCACCAAGGCGACGAUCCGUAGCUGGUCUGAGAGGAUGGUCAGCCACACUGGAACUGAGACACGGUCCAGAGUCCUAAGGGAGGCAGCAGUGGGGAAUAGUGGACAAUGGGCGCAAGCCUGACCCAGCGAUACGGCGUGGGAGAAGAAGGCGUUCGGGUUGUAAAGCCCUUUUGUUGGGAAAGAAAAGCAGCAGGUUAAGACCCCGCUGUUCUGACGGUACCCAAAGAAUAAGCACCGGCUAACUUCGUG
This 492-nucleotide ribosomal RNA is filed under the name uncultured bacterium. RNAcentral describes it as "partial 16S ribosomal RNA". It matches the Rfam family "Bacterial small subunit ribosomal RNA", at positions 29 to 507 of the family's 1533-position model. The record is from RNAcentral.